UCCCUGGUAGUAUAUCGGCUAGUACACGCGCCUGUCAUCUGUGCGCGCGAAAGCGGGGUUCGACUCCCCGCCAGGGAG
This is a non-coding RNA of Abortiporus biennis, 78 nucleotides long. Lineage: Eukaryota; Fungi; Basidiomycota; Agaricomycetes; Polyporales; Podoscyphaceae. The record is from the annotation of a GenBank genome assembly.